UCUCCGUAGGUGAACCCGCGGAGGGAUCAUUACAGAGUUCAUGCCCUACCGGGUAGAUCUCCCACCCUAUGUUAUUAUUACUUUGCUGCUUUGGCGGGCCGUUAGGCUCCGGCCCGACUACCGGCCCCGGCUGGUAAGCGCCCGCCAGAGGACCCAAAACCCUGAAUAUCAGUGUCGUCUGAGUACUAUAUAAUAGUUAAAACUUUCAACAACGGAUCUCUUGGUUCUG
This 229-nucleotide unclassified non-coding RNA is filed under the name plant metagenome. RNAcentral's name for it is "partial contains small subunit ribosomal RNA, internal transcribed spacer 1, and 5.8S ribosomal RNA". The record is from RNAcentral.